RNAcentral lists this small nuclear RNA (104 nucleotides) under Thrips palmi. Lineage: Eukaryota; Metazoa; Arthropoda; Insecta; Thysanoptera; Thripidae. The record is from RNAcentral.
CUCUCUCUGGCGGUACAUAUACUAAAAUUGGAACGAUACAGAGAAGAUUAGCAUGGCCCCUGCGCAAGGAUGACACGCAAAAUCGUGAAGCGUUCCUCUCUCUC